Molecule: ribosomal RNA, 522 nt
Filed under: uncultured fungus
Lineage: Eukaryota; Fungi
Description: eukaryotic LSU rRNA
Rfam family: 5.8S ribosomal RNA (bases 226-379)
Source: RNAcentral
GUCGCUGGCUCAAAUGAGCAUGUGCACGUCUUUUGCUGCUUGCUUCAUUCUCUUUUCCACCUGUGCACUCUUUGUAGACACUCGGGAUGGGAGAGAGGCUGUCAUUGAUUGUCGACCUCUCUUGAUAUCAGAAAGUCUGGGUGUUUAUGUGUUUUUUGACAUACGCAGUUUGAAUGUCUAUAGAAUGAAAUGUAGGCUUUUGUCAGCCUUUAAAUGAUAAAAUACAACUUUCAACAACGGAUCUCUUGGCUCUCGCAUCGAUGAAGAACGCAGCGAAAUGCGAUAAGUAAUGUGAAUUGCAGAAUUCAGUGAAUCAUCGAAUCUUUGAACGCAUCUUGCGCUCCUUGGUAUUCCGAGGAGCAUGCCUGUUUGAGUGUCAUUAAAUAUCUCAAAAAACUUGUGCUUUUUUGGCAUGGGAUUUUUGGACAUUGGGAGUUGCCGGCUGCUGAUAAAGUGGUGGGCUCUUCUGAAAAGCAUUAGUUGAGGAGCUUUGCACUCUAUUGGUGUGAUAGACUAUCUAUG